This 434-nucleotide ribosomal RNA is filed under the name uncultured bacterium. Its description in RNAcentral is "partial 16S ribosomal RNA". It matches the Rfam family "Bacterial small subunit ribosomal RNA", at positions 29 to 506 of the family's 1533-position model. The record is from RNAcentral.
AGCGAACGCUGGCGGCAGGCUUAACACAUGCAAGUCGAACGGGCAUCUUCGGAUGUCAGUGGCAGACGGGUGAGUAACACGUGGGAACGUACCCUUCGGUUCGGAAUAACUCAGGGAAACUUGAGCUAAUACCGGAUACGCCCUUUUGGGGAAAGGUUUACUGCCGAAGGAUCGGCCCGCGUCUGAUUAGCUUGUUGGUGGGGUAACGGCCUACCAAGGCGACGAUCAGUAGCUGGUCUGAGAGGAUGAUCAGCCACACUGGGACUGAGACACGGCCCAGACUCCUACGGGAGGCAGCAGUGGGGAAUAUUGGACAAUGGGCGCAAGCCUGAUCCAGCCAGGCCGCGGGAGUGAUGAAGGCCUUAGGGUUGUAAAGCUCUUUUGUCCGGGACGAUAAUGACGGUACCGGAAGAAUAAGCCCCGGCGAACUUCGU